Molecule: ribosomal RNA, 292 nt
Filed under: uncultured eukaryote
Lineage: Eukaryota
Description: partial 18S ribosomal RNA
Rfam family: Eukaryotic small subunit ribosomal RNA
Source: RNAcentral
GGUUGAUCCUGCCAGUCUUAUAUGCUGGUCAAGCAGAUUAAGCCAUGCAUGUCUAAGUAUAAACUGCUCAGUUUAUUCAGUGAAACUGCGAAUGGCUCAUUAAAUCAGUUAUAGUCUACGUGAUUGUGGUUGUUUUUCCUGAUGGAUAACCGUGGGAAAGCCAGGGCUAAUACAUAGCAAAGGAGACGACUGGUGGGGGGUGACUCUCGCCUCGGAAGUCUUGAAUUUAUUAGAUUAAAAACCAAUGGUGAGGUUCGCCUCAUCACUCCCUGGAUGAUUCAUGAUAACGCAU